UUCGAGUAUUUUUAACUAAUGAUUUCGUCGAUUUUAUUCGGUUCAAGCUCGUUUUCGCGUAUAUAUAAAACUAUAAAAAUAACAAAGCAAUCGUGUCGUUAAUCUUUACCAAGUCAUUACGCCGAAAAGUCGAGCCGCUUAACUGAACUGACCGAGUCAACUCAGUUGACUCGGUUUGACUGUGUUGACCGAGUUGACUCGGGUUUGACCGAGUCAACUGAACCUGCUGACUAACGUUGACCUGAAACGAAACAUAAUCUGAAUCGCAAAUCUGAACUAAACCGAGUUCAUCUCUUGAACUGAAACGAGACUUGAAUUGAUACCCACUCCAACGCUUGAUGUUGAACCCGAAAUUCUGACCCGAGACUCCCGAGCAUGAACCAAACGCUCGAACUUGUGUCUGAUCUGGACUCGAACUUGACCGAGAACCCGAACCGAAGGUUGACCAGCCGUUGACUUCUGAAAAACCGACGAAUUACCCGGAAGGUAAAGAAAAAAAAUAAUAAUAAUACAAAACAUAAAUCGGCUCACCGGAGCUUCUGUCGGGUGGAAACGGCUGCCGCGAAACCCACCGGAUAUCCUGCUGACCACCGGAUAAACGAACCGACCGGCGGUCCGAGCCUUUGACCGCCGGUUCUCCCUCUCUCUCUCUCUCUGGUUAUCUCCGGUAAACCCAUCGUCCCGCCGCCUCCUCCAUUGCCGCCGCCGUGAGCGGCGGCGCCGCUCCCUUCUCCGCCUUCUUUCUCUUUCUCUCUCUCGAUUCUCUCCUCUCUAUCUUCUUGUUUCAGUGCUCAACACUUACCACCACCCGAUGUGCUCAACACUUACCACCACCCGAUGGUGGUGGUCGUUACUUGAUCUGUCGAGGGGGGGGGGGUAUAUAACAGAAAGGGGGUGUGGGUGUUAUAGAGGAUAGAAAUAGAACCCGGUAGAUGGCGUCACUCCGGUUGCCAGAGCCGAAGCCGGAGAAGAGAGAUGAGAGUAGAGCAGGUUCUUGUUUGCUUGAGUAUUUGAGGACAUGAGGUCCCUGUGUUUAUUUGCUCAGUGAGUGUGACCGAGAGAGGAUGAGAGUGAAAAUGAGAGGCUGUUUAGAAUUUGUAUGUGUGUAAAUUAAUAUGC
This 1119-nucleotide long non-coding RNA is filed under the name Helianthus annuus (common sunflower). RNAcentral describes it as "hypothetical non coding rna". Lineage: Eukaryota; Viridiplantae; Streptophyta; Magnoliopsida; Asterales; Asteraceae. The record is from RNAcentral.